AUCCCCUUAUGUGAUAACUGACGUUGAGGGACGAAGGCUUUGUGUAGCGAACAGGAUUAGAUACCCCCAGUAGUCGAAGCAGAAAAUGAUGAAUGUCAUAGAUUAGAUAUAUAAGUUUAUUCUAUAAAUGAAAGUGUAAGCAUUCCACCUCAUGAGUAAUUUGGCAACAUUGGAACUGAAAUCAUUAGACCGUUUCUGAAACCAGUAGUGAAGUAUGUUGUUUAAUUUGAUGAUCCGCAAAAAACCUUACCACAAUUUGAAUAUUUAUAUUAUUUAUUGUUUUAUUAUUAAUAUUCUUCAUUUUCAUCAGAAAAAGAAGAAUAUUAAUAAUAAGGCAAUAAGAUAUA
Molecule: ribosomal RNA, 347 nt
Filed under: Xanthoparmelia sp.
Lineage: Eukaryota; Fungi; Ascomycota; Lecanoromycetes; Lecanorales; Parmeliaceae
Description: SSU rRNA
Rfam family: Bacterial small subunit ribosomal RNA
Source: RNAcentral